Molecule: ribosomal RNA, 233 nt
Filed under: uncultured bacterium
Lineage: Bacteria
Description: partial 16S ribosomal RNA
Rfam family: Bacterial small subunit ribosomal RNA
Source: RNAcentral
UACGUAGGAGGCAAGCGUUGUCCGGAUUUACUGGGCGUAAAGCGCGCGCAGGCGGCAUGGCAAGUAAGGUGUGGAAAUCCUCCCUGCCUAACGGGGAGGGUGCAUUUUAGACUGCCAAGCUAGAGGACGGUAGAGGGGGGUAGAAUUGCUGGUGUAGCGGUGAAAUGCGUAGAGAUCAGCAGGAAUACCCGUGGCGAAGGCGGCCCCCUGGGCCGAACCUGGACGCUGAGGCG